Molecule: ribosomal RNA, 247 nt
Filed under: uncultured bacterium
Lineage: Bacteria
Description: partial 16S ribosomal RNA
Rfam family: Bacterial small subunit ribosomal RNA
Source: RNAcentral
UACGGAGGGUGCAAGCGUUGUCCGGAUUUAUUGGGUUUAAAGGGUGCGUAGGCGGCCCUGUAAGUCAGUGGUGAAAUACUGCAGCUUAACUGUAGCAUUGCCAUUGAUACUGUAGGGCUUGAGUACAGAUGAGGUAGGCGGAAUUGAUGGUGUAGCGGUGAAAUGCAUAGAUACCAUCAAGAACACCGAUUGCGAAGGCAGCUUACUAAGCUGUAACUGACGCUGAGGCACGAAAAGCGUGGGGAUC